This is a long non-coding RNA of Tyto alba (common barn owl), 701 nucleotides long. RefSeq lists it as uncharacterized. Lineage: Eukaryota; Metazoa; Chordata; Aves; Strigiformes; Tytonidae. The record is from RefSeq and is a predicted model, not a curated record. The transcript is spliced from 2 exons.
CCGCCGCCGCACCGGCUGCUGUGUCAUCCCCCGCCCCGGGCCUUACCGAGCAGUGGGGCCGGGCGGUGUCAGACCCCCGCCGGGAGGCUCAUGGGCGCCGCGCUGAGUUACGCCGCAACAUUCAUCGCGAUAAAUGGAUCAUGUUAAUGAACAUCAACGGAAGAACCGCAGCCAUAAAUUAAUCAGAAGAGCUGGCCUCUGAAGAAACCUUAAUUCUACUUUGACGGCAAAUUCAGAUUCAGAAGAUCUCUCUCCCUGCUGUGCUUUAUUUUUGGCCGUAUCGUUUGCUGGGCAGGUUGCCAUGACAACCUUAUAUUCACCAGAGGGUGGCUAUAAUUGGGAGAGCACAUUGUUAAUUUAGCUCCAGGUUUGGUUUUGGUUUUUCUUUUUUUUUUUUUCUUUUUUUUUUUUUCUUUUUUUUUUUUUUUUUUUAUUUUGUCGUAUUUUAAGCAAAGGGGAACUGCCUGGAUUUUCGUAUUUUUAUCUAUGAGCAUACUACGGUUUAAUUAUUAAUCCGAGCACCAAUAGCAUCACUCCAGCUGCCAUGUGGAGCUCGCCGGGGCAGACAACAGCUCUGCCCGCAUCCCCUUUCCCUGGGUCAUCUCCUCCUCCAGCCCCCCGAGGCCCCAAGCUGAGAGCACCCAGGUUCAGGAUUUCCCAGGGAUGUUCCGGAUGUGUGAGAGCAGGGUCAAGGAAAGAAA